RNAcentral lists this long non-coding RNA (1556 nucleotides) under Anas platyrhynchos platyrhynchos (common mallard). RNAcentral describes it as "lncRNA (ENSAPLG00000025388.1)". The record is from RNAcentral. Lineage: Eukaryota; Metazoa; Chordata; Aves; Anseriformes; Anatidae.
AUGGUUUUGGCACAGGCCCCGUGGCUGCCCCACAGCCCGGUGCAGGGCCUAUCCCUGCCCCGCUGUUCCUGCACGGGCCCAGGCUGGCCCCGCAGGCUGCAGCAGGGCUGGGGCAGGGUGCUGGUGCUGCAGGAGCCUGCCCCGACCCCAGCCAGCCCCGUGAGCCAAGCACCCGUUCACAAAGCUGCAGCCCAGAACGGGCACGGGGAGCCCCUCGGAGCUGCGCCAGUCACUGCCCUGCACGGCCUCUCCAGCGCCGCCGCCGCGUCCCUCUGCCGGGCCCCGCAUCUCCUCCGUACAGCACCUGCUGGAAACCGAGCUUCCCCCUUCCCGGGGCAGCGCCUCCGCUCCGGCCCCAGGAGCCAGCCAGGCGGGGAGCCCCGCAGCGAGGGCCAGCCCCGCUCAGAGCUGAGCCCUCUUUUUGGGGCCCCCCCCGGUGCCCUCCUGCAGCCACACGCUCAGCCCAGCCCCGUCCAGGUGCAUCCUGCACCGCCGGGGCCACCCUCGCGCACCCGGCGUGCGCCCAGCGCCGCUGCUCUGCCCAGCUCAGCCCCUGCAGGGGCACUCAGGUGCCGAGGGGCUGCAGCGGGGAGCCCGGACACCCACCGGAGCUACCCCCCGCCGCCUCUUUGCUCGCCUCCGCCUCCAUCAGCCGGUGCAGGAGCCCCUUUGCCCGGCCACGGAGGCGGUGGCCGGGGCGGCCGCCCCGCAGGGCACCCAGCAGCCGGGGCAGCUCCUGGGGCAGGCGGUAGGUGGGCAGGGGCCGCAGGGGCCGGGGGACAUCGCGGGGGCUGCAGAGGCGGCUGAAGUAAACCAGCACCCAGUCCCGGCGGCGCCCCGCCGCCCCCAGCUCCCCGUGCAGGCAGGCCAUGGCCGCCCCAAAAAUAUCGUGGGCGUCCCGGGGCUCCCCACCGCCCUCGCCCCCUCUCCAGAGGCGGAAGAGCCGGGAGCUGCCCCGGCUCCAGAGCAGCAGGACGGUGCCACGCUCGCGGCCCACGCGGCCCCGCUGCGCGUAGAGCCAGGGCAGGGCCCCCGCGCGCCCCACGCCGCCCGCUUCCCACAGGUCCAGCCGCACCUCGCAGCCCAGCCCCGCGCGCAGCAGCUCGGCCAGGGCGCACACCAGCCCCAGGUGCUCCUCCGAGUCCGGGGAGUACAGCAGCAGCACGGGGCGGCCGCCCGCUGCGCCUGUAGGCAGAGGGGACAGCGGUGACAGCCCCGUCCUGGGGAGCCCCGGUGGCACCGCGGUGCCCCAUGCCACCCCAGAGACCUCCCCAGCCCUUGGGGUCACGGCGAGCCUCCCCUUCCCCGGAUUUUUGCCCCUCACCGGCGGGUGGCCUCCAUGCGCCGCGGCAGUUGAGGAGCAGCACGGUCAGCACCAGCCCCAGCGCCAGCCCCAGCCCCAGCAGCCCGAAAUGCCUGCGUGAGACUGCGAGAGGGGCGGUGAGGGGCGGGGGGAAGCCCCCACACCCCACCCCCAGACCCCAGACCCUCCUGCUGGCUCCAGGACCCCGCUCACCAUCAGGGCAGAGCAGCUGCUUCCUGGCGAAGCGCACGUC